This 482-nucleotide ribosomal RNA is filed under the name uncultured bacterium. RNAcentral describes it as "partial 16S ribosomal RNA". It matches the Rfam family "Bacterial small subunit ribosomal RNA", at positions 30 to 506 of the family's 1533-position model. The record is from RNAcentral.
AUUGAACGCUGGCGGCAGGCCUAACACAUGCAAGUCGAGCGGAUGAAGGGAGCUUGCUCCUGGAUUCAGCGGCGGACGGGUGAGUAAUGCCUAGGAAUCUGCCUGGUAGUGGGGGAUAACGUCCGGAAACGGGCGCUAAUACCGCAUACGUCCUGGGGAGAAAGUGGGGGAUCUUCGGACCUCACGCUAUCAGAUGAGCCUAGGUCGGAUUAGCUAGUUGGUGGGGUAAAGGCCUACCAAGGCGACGAUCCGUAACUGGUCUGAGAGGAUGAUCAGUCACACUGGAACUGAGACACGGUCCAGACUCCUACGGGAGGCAGCAGUGGGGAAUAUUGGACAAUGGGCGAAAGCCUGAUCCAGCCAUGCCGCGUGUGUGAAGAAGGUCUUCGGAUUGUAAAGCACUUUAAGUUGGGAGGAAGGGCAGUAAGUUAAUACCUUGCUGUUUUGACGUUACCAACAGAAUAAGCACCGGCUAACUUCGU